RNAcentral lists this ribosomal RNA (251 nucleotides) under uncultured bacterium. RNAcentral's name for it is "partial 16S ribosomal RNA". It matches the Rfam family "Bacterial small subunit ribosomal RNA", at positions 524 to 776 of the family's 1533-position model. The record is from RNAcentral.
GACGUAGGGCGCGAGCGUUGUCCGGAUUUAUUGGGCGUAAAGAGCUCGUAGGCGGCUUGUCGCGUCGACUGUGAAAACCCGCGGCUCAACCGCGGCCUGCAGCCGAUACGGGCAGGCUAGAGUUCGGUAGGGAGACUGGAAUUCCUGGUGUAGCGGUGAAAUGCGCAGAUAUCAGGAGGAACACCGAUGGCGAAGGCAGGUCUCUGGGCCGAUACUGACGCUGAGGAGCGAAAGCGUGGGGAGCAAACAGG